RNAcentral lists this ribosomal RNA (253 nucleotides) under uncultured bacterium. RNAcentral describes it as "partial 16S ribosomal RNA". It matches the Rfam family "Bacterial small subunit ribosomal RNA", at positions 524 to 776 of the family's 1533-position model. The record is from RNAcentral.
UACGAAGGGGGCUAGCGUUGCUCGGAAUCACUGGGCGUAAAGCGCACGUAGGCGGCUUUUUAAGUCAGGGGUGAAAUCCUGGAGCUCAACUCCAGAACUGCCUUUGAUACUGAGGAGCUCGAGUCCGGGAGAGGUGAGUGGAACUGCGAGUGUAGAGGUGAAAUUCGUAGAUAUUCGCAAGGACACCAGUGGCGAAGGCGGCUCACUGGCCCGGUACUGACGCUGAGGUGCGAAAGCGUGGGGAGCAAACAGG